Molecule: long non-coding RNA, 260 nt
Filed under: Mytilus galloprovincialis (Mediterranean mussel)
Lineage: Eukaryota; Metazoa; Mollusca; Bivalvia; Mytilida; Mytilidae
Source: RNAcentral
CAAAAUCAAAUAACAAAACAUAUCAAACGAAUGGACAAUAACUGUCAUAUUCCUGACUAGGUACAGGCAUUUUCAAAUGUAGUUAAUGGUGGAUUGAACCUGGUUUUAUAGCACUAAACCUCUCAUUUUCACAACAGUCUCAUCAAAUUCCGUUAUAUUUACAACGAUGCGUGAAAAAAAACCUACAAAAUAAAUAAAAUAGUCAAAAUAUGGGAACAGCAGUCAUCGCUGUGUUACAACAAACGAUUUUACAAAAAAAG